GAUGAAGAACGUAGCGAAAUGCGAUAAGUAAUGUGAAUUGCAGAAUUCAGUGAAUCAUCGAAUCUUUGAACGCACAUUGCGCCCCCUGGUAUUCCGGGGGGCAUGCCUGUUCGAGCGUCAUUUCACCACUCAAGCCUCGCUUGGUAUUGGGCAACGCGGUCCGCCGCGUGCCUCAAAUCGACCGGCUGGGUCUUCUGUCCCCUAAGCGUUGUGGAAACUAUUCGCUAAAGGGUGUUCGGGAGGCUACGCAGUAAAACAACCCCAUUUCUAAGGUUGACCUCGGAUCAGGUAGGGAUACCCGCUGAACUUAAGCAUAUCAAUAAGCGGAGGA
Molecule: unclassified non-coding RNA, 331 nt
Filed under: soil metagenome
Description: partial contains 5.8S ribosomal RNA, internal transcribed spacer 2, and large subunit ribosomal RNA
Rfam family: 5.8S ribosomal RNA (bases 1-120)
Source: RNAcentral